UGUUCCCACUGUCAUUAUUUCAUAAUUUCUACUUUUUCAUCACUAAUGUUCACUUUUAUUAUUUUUAUAUAAUAUUAUUUUAAUCUUCAAAAGACUUGAAAUUGGGCUAUAAAUAGGAGUUGAGAGAGGAGGUGAACUUAACCUACUUAGCUAUAAUCCAAAAUGAAGCCACUGUUUCUUUUAGUUUGUGUUCUCCUAGCUUCCUCUUUCUUUAUUCCCAUUUCCGCCAUGCCUAUCCAGGACCAGCCCUUGGGUGGUGAACGCAAAGGAAAAGAAUGUGGUCGUGGAACAAAAUGCAUACCAACAAAGCCACCGCAUCGUAGGUGUAAAGGUAACAGUGCUUACUGCAGGCCUCCCUGAAUGGGGUAAAAAAUAAAGCUAUGGGCCUAUGGAUGAUAUGUUAUUAUGUCUAUGGAUAUGGAUGUGGGUGAAGUUAUGCUAGUAAUAAAUUAACAAAUAAAUAAAGUUUCCCCCCAUGCUUCAUGACCCAUGGCAAUUACCACAUCACCAUCAUCAAUGAAGUUCUUGUAAUGAUCGUAUCAUUACUUUCAUGACUACUAGUUUGUAUGUGUUACGUUUAUGUUUAAUAAAUUAUGGAGUGUUUUUUUGUUGAAAAA
Long non-coding RNA from Gossypium arboreum, 617 nucleotides. RefSeq lists it as uncharacterized. The record is from RefSeq and is a predicted model, not a curated record. Lineage: Eukaryota; Viridiplantae; Streptophyta; Magnoliopsida; Malvales; Malvaceae. The transcript has 2 exons.